Molecule: long non-coding RNA, 2340 nt
Filed under: Triticum aestivum (bread wheat)
Lineage: Eukaryota; Viridiplantae; Streptophyta; Magnoliopsida; Poales; Poaceae
Description: long non-coding RNA (TAES_LNC010465)
Source: RNAcentral
UUUUCAUCUAUGUUUAAAAUGUUUAAAAUGUUGUUGAUUUAAAUUUGCUUAAUAACUUGCUAAAAUGAUUUAUUUCAUAACUAAAUAGCCGUAACUCGGAAUUUAAUAAACUUUAUAUGUAAAUGGGGUAGAAAAUGCCUAGUUUAACAUGGUGUACUUGUUUUGCAUGUUUAACAACCCUAAAAUUGUGUUUAAGGCAGAUCAGUACCAAACCUAAUAUAUGCAUAUGAGGAGUUCCCGGACUUGUUGUUUUGUUGUACCGGCCUCAUUUAGACUUGCCUAGAUUAGAUAGUUUCAUCAUGCUUCACCUCUUGCCAUGUUUAACAACAUUUAAUAUUGUUGCGUACAUAAACGAGAUCGAACUAAAUAACUUGUCGGGGUGUUUUGUCAAUAUGCAACUCCGUGACAUAUUGAGCUCCACUUAAUUUGUAGUGUUGUUUGUUGCACUUUGCCAUGCCAUGCUUCAUUAAACCGGACAUGCAUCAUAAUUGUUUAUGCAUCAUGCCAUGUCUAUGUGGUGGUUGUUUACUAUGUUGUCUGCUUCUUUCCGGUGUGCUUCUUCGGGUUGUUUCUGGUAACGUCGUGUUUGUGAGGACCCGUUCGACUACGUCUGUUUUUCUUCUUCAUGGACUCGUUCUUUUUCCUUGCGGGAUCUCAGGCAAGAUGACCAUACCCUCGAAAUCACUUCUAUCUUUGCUUGCUAGUUGCUCGCUCUUUUGCUAUGCCUAUGCUGCGAUACCUACCACUUGCUUAUCAUGCCUCCCAUAUUGUUGAACCAAGCUUCUAACCCACUUUGUCCUAGCAAACCGUUGUUUGGCUAUGUUACCGCUUUGCUCAGCCCCUCUUAUAGCAUUGUUAGUUGCAGGUGAAGAUUGAAGUUUGUUCCUUGUUGGAACAUGGAGAUGUUGUUCCUUGUUGGAACAUGUUUACUUGUUGGGAUAUCACAAUAUCUCUUAUCUAAUUAAUGCAUCUAUAUACUUGGUAAAGGGUGGAAGGCUUGGCCUUAUGCCUGGUGUUUUGUUCCACUCUUGCCGCCCUAGUUUUCGUCAUAUCGGUGUUAUGUUCCCGGAUUUUGCGUUCCUUACGCGGUUGGGUUAUAAUGGGAACCCCUUGACAGUUUGCCUUGAAUAAAACUCCUCCAGCAAUGCCCAACAUUGGUUUUACCAUUCGCCACCUAGCCUUUUCUUUCCCUUGGGUAGGCCUACCCAAGGGUCAUCUUUAUUUUAACCCCCCUGGGCCAGUGCUCCUCUGAGUGUUGGUCCGACCGAGUAUACUGCGGGGCCACCUCGGGGCAGCUUGAGGGUUAGUUUUACUCGUAGGAUGUCUCAUCUGAGUGAGCCCUGAGAACGAGAUAUGUGCAGCUCCUAUCAGGAUUUGUCGGCACAUUCGAGCGGUGUUGCUGGACUUGUUUUACCAUUGUCGAGGAUGUCUUGUAACCGGGAUUCCGAGUCUGAUCGGGUCUUCCCGCUAGAAGGAAUAUCCUUCGUUGACCGUGAGAGCUUGUGAUGGGCUAAGUUGGGACACCCCUGCAGGAAUUUGAACUUUCGAAAGCUGUGCCCGCGGUUAUGGGCAGAUGGGAAUUUGUUAACGUCCGGUUGUAGAAAACCUGAAGUUGACCUUAAUUAAAAUACAUCAACCGCGUGUGUUACCGUGAUGGUCUCUUUCCGGCGGAGUCCGGGAAGUGAACACGGUGUUGGAGUUAUGCUUGACGUAGGUUGCUAUAGGAUCACUUCUUGAUCAUACUUUUAUCGACCGUGCUUUGCCUUCUCUUCUCGCUCUCAUUUGCGUAUGUUAGUCACCAAAUAUGCUAGUCGCUUGCUGCAGCUCCACCUCAUACCUUUACCUUACCCAUAAGCUUAAAUAGUCCUGAUCGCGAGGAUGUGAGAUUGCUGAGUCCCCGUGACUCACAGAUACUUCCAAAACCAAUUUGCAGGUGCCGAGGUUACCGUGCAGAUGACGCAACCAAGCUCAAGGAGGAGCUCGAUGAAGAUCUUAUCCUUUUGUGUUGUUUCGUUCUAGUUGAUCAGUAGUGGAGCCCAGUUGGGGUCGAUCGGGGACCUUGUCGCAUUUGGGAUUCUUCUUUUAUUUUGGUUCCGUAGUCGGUCCUUGAUUGUAUUUGGAUGGUGUAAUGCUUUAUUUAUGUAAUUAUGUGAAGUGGCGAUUGUAAGCCAACUAUGUAUCUCUUUCCCUUAUGUAUUACAUGGGUUGUGUGAAGAUUACCUCACUUGCGACAUUGCUUUCAAUGCGGUUAUGCCUCUAAGUCGUGCUUCGACACGUGGGAGAUAUAGCCGCAUCGAGGGCGUGACACUUACUCUCGUUUGUUUCUUAAUUAAGUGCAUG